UAUCUCCGUAGGCUAAUUGGAUAAACCACAGGAUUUCUAAUCCCGCAUUCUGAGUUCGAAUCUCAGCGGAGAUGU
RNAcentral lists this transfer RNA (75 nucleotides) under Enterococcus phage vB_OCPT_Bop. Its description in RNAcentral is "tRNA-Arg". It matches the Rfam family "tRNA". Rfam says of the family: Transfer RNA (tRNA) molecules are approximately 80 nucleotides in length. Their secondary structure includes four short double-helical elements and three loops (D, anti-codon, and T loops). The record is from RNAcentral. Lineage: Duplodnaviria; Heunggongvirae; Uroviricota; Caudoviricetes; Herelleviridae. RNAcentral also lists the same sequence under 2 other names.